UACGGGAGUGGCAAGCGUUAUCCGGAAUUAUUGGGCGUAAAGCGUCCGCAGGCGGUCUUGUAAGUCUGUUGUUAAAGCGUGGAGCUUAACUCCAUUUCAGCAAUGGAAACUGUAAGACUAGAGUGUGGUAGGGGCAGAGGGAAUUCCCGGUGUAGCGGUGAAAUGCGUAGAUAUCGGGAAGAACACCAGUGGCGAAGGCGCUCUGCUGGGCCAUAACUGACGCUCAUGGACGAAAGCCAGGGGAGCGAAAGGGAUUAGAUACCCCUGUAGUCCUGGCCGUAAACGAUGAACACUAGGUGUCGGGGAAUCGACCCCCUCGGUGUCGUAGCCAACGCGUUAAGUGUUCCGCCUGGGGAGUACGCACGCAAGUGUGAAACUCAAAGGAAUUGACGGGGGCCCGCACAAGCGGUGGAGUAUGUGGUUUAAUUCGAUGCAACGCGAAGAACCUUACCAGGGUUUGACAUCCUGCGAAUCUUUUGGAAACAGAAGAGUGCCUUCGGGAACGCAGUGACAGGUGGUGCAUGGCUGUCGUCAGCUCGUGUCGUGAGAUGUUGGGUUAAGUCCCGCAACGAGCGCAACCCACGUCGUUAGUUGCCAGCAUUUAGUUGGGCACUCUAGCGAGACCGCCGGUGAUAAACCGGAGGAAGGUGUGGAUGACGUCAAGUCAUCAUGCCCCUUACAUCCUGGGCUACACACGUACUACAAUGCUACGGACAAAGGGCAGCAAACUCGCGAGAGCUAGCAAAUCCCAUAAACCGUGGCUCAGUUCAGAUCGUAGGCUGCAACUCGCCUACGUGAAGGAGGAAUCGCUAGUAAUCGCAGGUCAGCAUACUGCGGUGAAUACGUUCCCGGGCCU
Molecule: ribosomal RNA, 856 nt
Filed under: uncultured bacterium
Lineage: Bacteria
Description: SSU rRNA
Rfam family: Bacterial small subunit ribosomal RNA
Source: RNAcentral